This 252-nucleotide ribosomal RNA is filed under the name uncultured bacterium. Its description in RNAcentral is "partial 16S ribosomal RNA". It matches the Rfam family "Bacterial small subunit ribosomal RNA", at positions 524 to 775 of the family's 1533-position model. The record is from RNAcentral.
UACGUAGGGUGCGAGCGUUAAUCGGAAUUACUGGGCGUAAAGCGUGCGCAGGCGGCGCGUUAAGACAGGUGUGAAAGCCCCGAGCUUAACUUGGGAAUUGCGCUUGUGACUGGCGUGCUGGAGUGUGGCAGAGGGAGGUGGAAUUCCACGUGUAGCAGUGAAAUGCGUAGAGAUGUGGAGGAACACCGAUGGCGAAGGCAGCCUCCUGGGCCAGCACUGACGCUCAUGCACGAAAGCGUGGGGAGCAACAGG